Molecule: ribosomal RNA, 2923 nt
Filed under: Salmonella enterica subsp. enterica serovar Enteritidis
Lineage: Bacteria; Pseudomonadati; Pseudomonadota; Gammaproteobacteria; Enterobacterales; Enterobacteriaceae
Description: bacterial LSU rRNA
Rfam family: Bacterial large subunit ribosomal RNA
Source: RNAcentral
GGGUUGUGAGGUUAAGCGACUAAGCGUACACGGUGGAUGCCCUGGCAGUCAGAGGCGAUGAAGGGCGUGCUAAUCUGCGAUAAGCGCCGGUAAGGUGAUAUGAACCGUUAUAACCGGCGAUACCCGAAUGGGGAAACCCAGUGUGAUUCGUCACACUAUCAUUAACUGAAUCCAUAGGUUAAUGAGGCGAACCGGGGGAACUGAAACAUCUAAGUACCCCGAGGAAAAGAAAUCAACCGAGAUUCCCCCAGUAGCGGCGAGCGAACGGGGAGGAGCCCAGAGCCUGAAUCAGCAUGUGUGUUAGUGGAAGCGUCUGGAAAGGCGCGCGAUACAGGGUGACAGCCCCGUACACAAAAGCGCAUGUGCUGUGAGCUCGAUGAGUAGGGCGGGACACGUGGUAUCCUGUCUGAAUAUGGGGGGACCAUCCUCCAAGGCUAAAUACUCCUGACUGACCGAUAGUGAACCAGUACCGUGAGGGAAAGGCGAAAAGAACCCCGGCGAGGGGAGUGAAAAAGAACCUGAAACCGUGUACGUACAAGCAGUGGGAGCACCCUUUGGGUGUGACUGCGUACCUUUUGUAUAAUGGGUCAGCGACUUAUAUUCUGUAGCAAGGUUAACCGAAUAGGGGAGCCGGAGGGAAACCGAGUCUUAACCGGGCGUUAAGUUGCAGGGUAUAGACCCGAAACCCGGUGAUCUAGCCAUGGGCAGGUUGAAGGUUGGGUAACACUAACUGGAGGACCGAACCGACUAAUGUUGAAAAAUUAGCGGAUGACCUGUGGCUGGGGGUGAAAGGCCAAUCAAACCGGGAGAUAGCUGGUUCUCCCCGAAAGCUAUUUAGGUAGCGCCUCGUGAAUUCAUCUCCGGGGGUAGAGCACUGUUUCGGCUAGGGGGCCAUCCCGGCUUACCAACCCGAUGCAAACUGCGAAUACCGGAGAAUGUUAUCACGGGAGACACACGGCGGGUGCUAACGUCCGUCGUGAAGAGGGAAACAACCCAGACCGCCAGCUAAGGUCCCAAAGUCAUGGUUAAGUGGGAAACGAUGUGGGAAGGCCCAGACAGCCAGGAUGUUGGCUUAGAAGCAGCCAUCAUUUAAAGAAAGCGUAAUAGCUCACUGGUCGAGUCGGCCUGCGCGGAAGAUGUAACGGGGCUAAACCAUGCACCGAAGCUGCGGCAGCGACACUGUGUGUUGUUGGGUAGGGGAGCGUUCUGUAAGCCUGUGAAGGUGUGUCGUGAGGCAUGCUGGAGGUAUCAGAAGUGCGAAUGCUGACAUAAGUAACGAUAAAGCGGGUGAAAAGCCCGCUCGCCGGAAGACCAAGGGUUCCUGUCCAACGUUAAUCGGGGCAGGGUGAGUCGACCCCUAAGGCGAGGCCGAAAGGCGUAGUCGAUGGGAAACGGGUUAAUAUUCCCGUACUUGGUGUUACUGCGAAGGGGGGACGGAGAAGGCUAUGUUGGCCGGGCGACGGUUGUCCCGGUUUAAGCGUGUAGGCUGGUUUUCCAGGCAAAUCCGGAAAAUCAAGGCUGAGGCGUGAUGACGAGGCACUACGGUGCUGAAGCAACAAAUGCCCUGCUUCCAGGAAAAGCCUCUAAGCAUCAGGUAACAUCAAAUCGUACCCCAAACCGACACAGGUGGUCAGGUAGAGAAUACCAAGGCGCUUGAGAGAACUCGGGUGAAGGAACUAGGCAAAAUGGUGCCGUAACUUCGGGAGAAGGCACGCUGACACGUAGGUGAAGUGAUUUACUCAUGGAGCUGAAGUCAGUCGAAGAUACCAGCUGGCUGCAACUGUUUAUUAAAAACACAGCACUGUGCAAACACGAAAGUGGACGUAUACGGUGUGACGCCUGCCCGGUGCCGGAAGGUUAAUUGAUGGGGUCAGCGCAAGCGAAGCUCCUGAUCGAAGCCCCGGUAAACGGCGGCCGUAACUAUAACGGUCCUAAGGUAGCGAAAUUCCUUGUCGGGUAAGUUCCGACCUGCACGAAUGGCGUAAUGAUGGCCAGGCUGUCUCCACCCGAGACUCAGUGAAAUUGAACUCGCUGUGAAGAUGCAGUGUACCCGCGGCAAGACGGAAAGACCCCGUGAACCUUUACUAUAGCUUGACACUGAACAUUGAGCCUUGAUGUGUAGGAUAGGUGGGAGGCUUUGAAGUGUGGACGCCAGUCUGCAUGGAGCCGACCUUGAAAUACCACCCUUUAAUGUUUGAUGUUCUAACGUGGACCCGUUACCCGGGUUGCGGACAGUGUCUGGUGGGUAGUUUGACUGGGGCGGUCUCCUCCUAAAGAGUAACGGAGGAGCACGAAGGUUGGCUAAUCCUGGUCGGACAUCAGGAGGUUAGUGCAAUGGCAUAAGCCAGCUUGACUGCGAGCGUGACGGCGCGAGCAGGUGCGAAAGCAGGUCAUAGUGAUCCGGUGGUUCUGAAUGGAAGGGCCAUCGCUCAACGGAUAAAAGGUACUCCGGGGAUAACAGGCUGAUACCGCCCAAGAGUUCAUAUCGACGGCGGUGUUUGGCACCUCGAUGUCGGCUCAUCACAUCCUGGGGCUGAAGUAGGUCCCAAGGGUAUGGCUGUUCGCCAUUUAAAGUGGUACGCGAGCUGGGUUUAGAACGUCGUGAGACAGUUCGGUCCCUAUCUGCCGUGGGCGCUGGAGAACUGAGGGGGGCUGCUCCUAGUACGAGAGGACCGGAGUGGACGCAUCACUGGUGUUCGGGUUGUCAUGCCAAUGGCACUGCCCGGUAGCUAAAUGCGGAAGAGAUAAGUGCUGAAAGCAUCUAAGCACGAAACUUGCCCCGAGAUGAGUUCUCCCUGAGACUUAGAGUCUCCUGAAGGAACGUUGAAGACGACGACGUUGAUAGGCCGGGUGUGUAAGCGCAGCGAUGCGUUGAGCUAACCGGUACUAAUGAACCGUGAGGCUUAACCUUACAACGCCGAAG